UAAACCACAGAAACUGGGGAGUACAAUACACAAAUAUUUAAACAUUACGAAUUUAUCAUUACAUAAAAUAAAACAUUAUCUAACAUCAUUUGAAGAACUCCCGUAUUUAUCGUUCGAGUCUAACGUCAUCUUUAUUUUUUUGAACGCGCUCUUUGAUUCUCCCGAUCCAAGUGCGUCAAGUCGUUGAAGCAUACCAGUGUCAUUUAACUCGUUCGCAUUGCCAACCCAAUUGUACAUCACACUUAUUUCUUCCCACUCCGGUUCUCCAAUUGUGCGAUAAGCUGAGGCGAAGGGUUUCGUCUGACAUUGAUAAAUAAUAAAAUAAAACACCAUUUAGUGGGUUUGUAUUAUGACCCCAAUUCAUGAAAAUAAAUUACAAAGCUGAAAAAAUAUAAUGUUUAAAAACGUUUUGCACCUACCUUCACUAUAGGAUUCCACGUUUGAUCGGUAGCAUAAACCGUAUUCGUUUCCAAACAGUACUCGACUCCAGGGCAUUCUAG
RNAcentral lists this long non-coding RNA (500 nucleotides) under Erythranthe guttata (spotted monkey flower). RNAcentral describes it as "long non-coding RNA (EGUT_LNC001708)". Lineage: Eukaryota; Viridiplantae; Streptophyta; Magnoliopsida; Lamiales; Phrymaceae. The record is from RNAcentral.